Molecule: long non-coding RNA, 1495 nt
Organism: Oncorhynchus mykiss (rainbow trout)
Lineage: Eukaryota; Metazoa; Chordata; Actinopteri; Salmoniformes; Salmonidae
Source: RefSeq, a predicted model, not a curated record
UUGGGGAGCCUGCUGGUUUUAUUUCCUGGUAAUGAGGCCUUUCAUUUGUUUUUGAGUCUUUAUUUAGGAGCGUGCCUUUUAUAUUUUUCUAAUUUUGUACAUAUGUAUGUUUCGUCACCAUCGGAACAAAUAAUAAUCUGCUUUAACUGGCUGACCAAGAGGUCAAGAGAGAGCUGACCUUGGACCAAGAGAACAUCAGAUAUGGGGGAGGAGAGCGCCACAUGGGGAGAGAUGGAGUGGUGGACAAUGAAAGCACUUUGCAGGCCCUGAGUGGAGCACCAAUCAACUCCAUCUAUUGGCAGUCCCAGUGGACCACAAACCUGAUGCCUUAUCAAAGGAAUUGAUAGAAAGAACAUGGCACAAACACAACUGAAUCAUAGAGGUUGGAGACGCAAGCCCAGACAUCUCUCUCUCUCUCUCCCUCUCAUCUUGUUUCUGGCCCAUGGUAGUGAGGUAUUCUGGGCUCAGGGAUAUGAGUCACCAUCCAGAGGAUGCUGCAUGACGUAGCGAACAACCUCUCUUCAAUCACGACAGCAAUCGGUCUAAUUGGAGUGCUGAUGGUCAUAACAUAAUCCAACUCUGGAAGGUUGUCCUUUACAACACUGGUAACAGACAAACCAUCUAAUCCUCCAACAAUGUACUGGGCCAUCUGGCUCAGACAAUCAACUAAUAUUGGCAUAGCUGGACCUGGAAGUCUUCAGCAGUCCAACCACCUUCUCCUGACCCUGCUGUUUGUUUUGCGCGACACAGAGGGUGAUUUGGGCCAGGACAUAGUACAGUCUGCGGUGUACCUAACAAGCUGGAUAGGAAGCCUAUGGGACUGCCUGUCUUUUUGCAGACUAGUAUUGGCUGCAAAUGAUGAUUGUGUAAAUCUUGGGCUACGUGUGUGUGAAUGCACAAGGUUGAGCACACAUUGGUGAAUAAGAAAGCCAAACACCAAGAUUGAGGCAGGCCUGGCUAACAAGCUGUGCUGUGCUAAGAGGCUCAGAACAAAACUCUUGUUGUUGGCUUUCCAGAUGGAUCCUGGUGGAUGGACAAUGGAUGAUGCCUGAUAGGACAGCUAGGUCUGAGUACAGCCAACACCCCCCCCCCCCCCCCCAUGUAGCCACUAUAGCCAGCUCUGAUCCUGCAACCUGGCCAGAUUCAGGCCUGGGACCACUAGGGGAUCUGACUCCCUUCAUUAUCUGUGGCUUCUCUAUCUCAAACUAGGCCUGUGUUAUGAGCUACUGCUGUUGCUGCUGUUCCUGUUGCCACGGUUUCUGUCUCUGGUAGCCUGCCUCUUCCUCUGACAGAACAGUUUCCAGGUAGCAAGCUAACACAAGCCAGCUAGAAUCAAAGGAACAUGAGGAAUCACGGGUUGGCGUGUGGUAUGAAUGCUUGUUUCAAUCUGCCAUCUCUUUAUCUCUUAUUUUUUUUAUCUUCUUCCUACUUGCUCUCAGCCACUGUCUCUGUCUGUCUCUCUCUCAGCCACUCUGUCUGUCUCUCUCUUAGCUGC